This 510-nucleotide ribosomal RNA is filed under the name uncultured bacterium. RNAcentral describes it as "partial 16S ribosomal RNA". It matches the Rfam family "Bacterial small subunit ribosomal RNA", at positions 28 to 507 of the family's 1533-position model. The record is from RNAcentral.
GACGAACGCUGGCGGCGUGCUUAACACAUGCAAGUCGAACGAAGAGCGAUGGAAGCUUGCUUCUAUCAAUCUUAGUGGCGAACGGGUGAGUAACGCGUAAUCAACCUGCCCUUCAGAGGGGGACAACAGUUGGAAACGACUGCUAAUACCGCAUACGAUCUAAACUCGGCAUCGAGGAUAGAUGAAAGGUGGCCUCUACAUGUAAGCUAUCACUGAAGGAGGGGAUUGCGUCUGAUUAGCUAGUUGGAGGGGUAACGGCCCACCAAGGCGAUGAUCAGUAGCCGGUCUGAGAGGAUGAACGGCCACAUUGGGACUGAGACACGGCCCAGACUCCUACGGGAGGCAGCAGUGGGGAAUCUUCCGCAACGGACGAAAGUCUGACGGAGCAACGCCGCGUGAGUGAUGACGGCCUUCGGGUUGUAAAGCUCUGUUAAUCGGGACGAAAGGCCUUCUUGCGAAUAGUGAGAAGGAUUGACGGUACCGGAAUAGAAAGCCACGGCUAACUACGUG